This 816-nucleotide ribosomal RNA is filed under the name soil metagenome. Its description in RNAcentral is "bacterial SSU rRNA". It matches the Rfam family "Bacterial small subunit ribosomal RNA", at positions 8 to 823 of the family's 1533-position model. The record is from RNAcentral.
AGAGUUUGAUCCUGGCUCAGGAUGAACGCUAGCGGCAGGCCUAACACAUGCAAGUCGAGGGGUAGGGUUAGCUUGCUAACCUGAGACCGGCGCACGGGUGCGUAACGCGUAUGCAAUCUACCUUGUACAGAGGGAUAGCCCAGAGAAAUUUGGAUUAAUACCUCAUAGUAUUAUUGAAUGGCAUCAUUUAAUUAUUAAAGUUCCAACGGUACAAGAUGAGCAUGCGUCCCAUUAGUUAGUUGGUAAGGUAACGGCUUACCAAGACGAUGAUGGGUAGGGGUCCUGAGAGGGAGAUCCCCCACACUGGUACUGAGACACGGACCAGACUCCUACGGGAGGCAGCAGUGAGGAAUAUUGGACAAUGGGCGCAAGCCUGAUCCAGCCAUGCCGCGUGCAGGAUGACGCAUCUAUGGUGUGUAAACUGCUUUUAUACAGGAAGAAACCCUACCACGUGUGGUAGAUUGACGGUACUGUAGGAAUAAGGAUCGGCUAACUCCGUGCCAGCAGCCGCGGUAAUACGGAGGAUCCAAGCGUUAUCCGGAAUCAUUGGGUUUAAAGGGUCCGUAGGCGGUUUUGUAAGUCAGUGGUGAAAUCUGGUCGCUUAACGAUCAAACGGCCAUUGAUACUGCAAGACUUGAAUUACCAGGAAGUAACUAGAAUAUGUAGUGUAGCGGUGAAAUGCUUAGAUAUUACAUGGAAUACCAAUUGCGAAGGCAGGUUACUACUGGUAUAUUGACGCUGAUGGACGAAAGCGUGGGGAGCGAACAGGAUUAGAUACCCUGGUAGUCCACGCCGUAAACGAUGGAUACUAGCUGU